CACGUAGGCACCAAGCGUUAUCCGGAUUUAUUGGGCGUAAAGAGCUCGUAGGCGGUUCGGUAAGUCGGGUGUGAAAACUCUGGGCUCAACCCAGAGAGGCCACCCGAUACUGCUGUGACUAGAGUGCGGUAGGGGAGCGGGGAAUUCCUGGUGUAGCGGUGAAAUGCGCAGAUAUCAGGAGGAACACCAGCGGCGAAGGCGCCGCUCUGGGCCGUAACUGACGCUGAGGAGCGAAAGCAUGGGUAGCAAAGCAGG
Molecule: ribosomal RNA, 255 nt
Filed under: uncultured bacterium
Lineage: Bacteria
Description: partial 16S ribosomal RNA
Rfam family: Bacterial small subunit ribosomal RNA
Source: RNAcentral